CGCCGCGGUUAUACGAGAGGCCCAAGUUGACGGAACUCGGCGUAAAGGGUGGUUAAUAGAUACUUAACUAAAGUCGAAUGCCUACAGGGCUGUUAUAAGCGUACGAAGGCCAGAAGCACACCAACGAAAGUGACUUUAAUACUUAUGACCCCACGUAAGCUAGGGAA
This 167-nucleotide ribosomal RNA is filed under the name Bryaninops natans (redeye goby). RNAcentral's name for it is "partial 12S rRNA". The record is from RNAcentral. Lineage: Eukaryota; Metazoa; Chordata; Actinopteri; Gobiiformes; Gobiidae.